Molecule: long non-coding RNA, 809 nt
Filed under: Mustela putorius furo (domestic ferret)
Lineage: Eukaryota; Metazoa; Chordata; Mammalia; Carnivora; Mustelidae
Description: lncRNA (ENSMPUG00000029418.1)
Source: RNAcentral
AGCGUGCUGCGCGCACUCUGCCUCUUAUGCUCCCUGCGCUCCAAGUGCAGCUGCUAUAAAUCAUUAAGUUAAUCAUCCUUUGGCCUGGAGAGCCGAGACAGACUGGGGCUUGCGGUUCUCAGCACAGUUUCCUGCUGUUUCUAAUGAGGCUUCAUAAACAGGUAAGAAAAAGCGCCGUUGGCCCCCUGAUUCCGCCAGGGCCUUCCUGAACCCGGGCUUCCUCUCCCAACAUCCGGUAAAAUUACAUCCUGGCAGCGGCUGGCUGGCAGGUGGCGGGGAGGCUGCUGCUCGUGCUGGUGUCAAGGACAGAGCAUUUGUUCUGCAGCAGACCGGAGAAGGACUUCCAAGGGGCUCUUCCAAAAGCACAGACGCGCUCUAUUUCCAGACCAGAACAAGAAAGGAUGUUGCCUCUUUGGAGCAAUUCUGUCAUCUUUUCUAAGGUUGCUGAACAUAAUAAAACACAGGAUGUCCAGGUCCAUCAUGACCUGCGCCAAAGGCAGAUGCUUUAAUGACUGAGCCACCCAGGCACCCCUAUAAAGGAAUGAAAGCAUCAUCUGUUAUGAGCCCUUGUUCAACAAGCCAUGUUGACAGCCAGAACAGAUUGAGGAAGCGGUCCUCAGAGGCAGGUCCCGGUGAAAGCAGGAAGCGGAAACCAUUUCUCCUUUGACACACUCCUCUCUGUGGCCUUUAGAUCCCCGACCUGAAUUGGGUCCUCACAGCCCUAGCGGCUUACUGCCUACUAUGUCCCAUGCAGGUUCACCGCUUCAAAUAGUGCCACAGCCUUAAGAUUACUUCCUCUUUUUAUUUCC